This 1280-nucleotide ribosomal RNA is filed under the name metagenome. Its description in RNAcentral is "bacterial LSU rRNA". It matches the Rfam family "Bacterial large subunit ribosomal RNA", at positions 1542 to 2804 of the family's 2925-position model. The record is from RNAcentral.
CGGGAUACUUUAUGCUGAGAACUGAGACGAACCCAUACUUGUAUGGGGAAGUAACUGAUGCCAUGCUUCCAAGAAAAGCUUCUAAGCUUCAGUCAGUAAGGGAUCGUACCCGAAACCGACACAGGUGGUCAGGUCGAGAAGACCAAGGCGCUUGAGAGAACUCUGCUGAAGGAACUAGGCAAAAUAGUACCGUAACUUCGGGAGAAGGUACGCUGUUGAUGGUGAAGGAUUUACUCCGUAAGCUAUCGGCAGCCUCAGAAACUAGGCCGCUGCAACUGUUUAUUAAAAACACAGCACUCUGCAAACACGAAAGUGGACGUAUAGGGUGUGAUGCCUGCCCGGUGCUGGAAGGUUAAUUGAUGGGGUUAGCGAAAGCGAAGCUCUUGAUCGAAGCCCCAGUAAACGGCGGCCGUAACAAUAACGGUCCUAAGGUAGCGAAAUUCCUUGUCGGGUAAGUUCCGACCUGCACGAAUGGCAUAAUGAUGGCGGCGCUGUCUCCAGCAGAGACUCAGUGAAAUCGAAAUCGCGGUGAAGAUGCCGUGUACCCGCGGCUAGACGGAAAGACCCCGUGAACCUUUACUGCAGCUUUGCAUUGAACUUUGACCUUACUUGUGUAGGAUAGGUGGGAGGCUUUGAAGCUCGGACGCCAGUUCGAGUGGAGCCAUCCUUGAAACACCACCCUGGUAAUGUCGAGGUUCUAACCCAGAUCCGUUAUCCGGAUCGGGGACAGUGUAUGGUGGGUAGUUUGACUGGGGCGGUCUCCUCCUAAAGAGUAACGGAGGAGUACGAAGGUGCGCUCAGCGUGGUCGGAAAUCACGCAAUGAGUAUAAAGGCAAAAGCGCGCUUAACUGCGAGACCGACAAGUCGAGCAGGUACGAAAGUAGGUCUUAGUGAUCCGGUGGUUCUGUAUGGAAGGGCCAUCGCUCAACGGAUAAAAGGUACUCUGGGGAUAACAGGCUGAUACCGCCCAAGAGUUCAUAUCGACGGCGGUGUUUGGCACCUCGAUGUCGGCUCAUCUCAUCCUGGGGCUGAAGCAGGUCCCAAGGGUAUGGCUGUUCGCCAUUUAAAGAGGUACGCGAGCUGGGUUUAGAACGUCGUGAGACAGUUCGGUCCCUAUCUACCGUGGGCGUUGGAGACUUGAGAGGAUCUGCUUCUAGUACGAGAGGACCGAAGUGGACGUACCUCUGGUGUUCGGGUUGUCACGCCAGUGGCACUGCCCGGUAGCUAUGUACGGACGGGAUAACCGCUGAAAGCAUCUAAGCGGGAAGCCUACCUUAGGA